This 506-nucleotide ribosomal RNA is filed under the name uncultured bacterium. RNAcentral describes it as "partial 16S ribosomal RNA". It matches the Rfam family "Bacterial small subunit ribosomal RNA", at positions 30 to 523 of the family's 1533-position model. The record is from RNAcentral.
AUUGAACGCUGGCGGCAGGCCUAACACAUGCAAGUCGAACGGUAGCACAGAGGAGCUUGCUCCUUGGGUGACGAGUGGCGGACGGGUGAGUAAUGUCUGGGAAACUGCCCGAUGGAGGGGGAUAACUACUGGAAACGGUGGCUAAUACCGCAUAACGUCUUCGGACCAAAGUGGGGGACCUUCGGGCCUCACACCAUCGGAUGUGCCCAGAUGGGAUUAGCUAGUAGGUGGGGUAAUGGCUCACCUAGGCGACGAUCCCUAGCUGGUCUGAGAGGAUGACCAGCCACACUGGAACUGAGACACGGUCCAGACUCCUACGGGAGGCAGCAGUGGGGAAUAUUGCACAAUGGGCGCAAGCCUGAUGCAGCCAUGCCGCGUGUAUGAAGAAGGCCUUCGGGUUGUAAAGUACUUUCAGCGGGGAGGAAGGCGUUAAGGUUAAUAACCUUGGCGGUUGACGUUACCCGCAGAAGAAGCACCGGCUAACUCCGUGCCAGCAGCCGCCGUAA